Molecule: ribosomal RNA, 275 nt
Filed under: uncultured bacterium
Lineage: Bacteria
Description: partial 16S ribosomal RNA
Rfam family: Bacterial small subunit ribosomal RNA
Source: RNAcentral
CCUACGGGUGGCAGCAGUGGGGAAUCUUGCGCAAUGCGCGAAAGCGUGACGCAGCAACACCGCGUGAGGGAAGACGGCCUUCGGGUUGUAAACCUCUUUCAGGAGGGACGAAGGGCGGCCGGUGAAUAGCCGUGCCGUCUGACGGUACCUCCACAAGAAGCUCCGGCUAACUACGUGCCAGCAGCCGCGGUAAUACGUAGGGAGCGAGCGUUGUCCGGAAUCAUUGGGCGUAAAGCGCGCGUAGGCGGCCCGAUAAGUCCGCUGUGAAAGUCAAC